Molecule: ribosomal RNA, 405 nt
Filed under: uncultured cyanobacterium
Lineage: Bacteria; Bacillati; Cyanobacteriota
Description: partial 16S ribosomal RNA
Rfam family: Bacterial small subunit ribosomal RNA
Source: RNAcentral
UGGGGAAUUUUCCGCAAUGGGCGAAAGCCUGACGGAGCAAUACCGCGUGAGGGAGGAAGGCUCUUGGGUUGUAAACCUCUUUUCUCAGGGAAGAAAAAAAUGACGGUACCUGAGGAAUAAGCAUCGGCUAACUCCGUGCCAGCAGCCGCGGUAAUACGGAGGAUGCAAGCGUUAUCCGGAAUGAUUGGGCGUAAAGGGUCCGCAGGUGGCAUUGUAAGUCUGCUGUUAAAGAGUCUAGCUCAACUAGAUAAAAGCAGUGGAAACUACAAAGCUAGAGUACGUUCGGGGCAGAGGGAAUUCCUGGUGUAGCGGUGAAAUGCGUAGAUAUCAGGAAGAACACCGGUGGCGAAAGCGCUCUGCUAGGCCGUAACUGACACUGAGGGACGAAAGCUAGGGGAGCGAAUG